Molecule: long non-coding RNA, 1066 nt
Organism: Dalotia coriaria
Lineage: Eukaryota; Metazoa; Arthropoda; Insecta; Coleoptera; Staphylinidae
Exons: 3
Source: RefSeq, a predicted model, not a curated record
AUUUGAUAACAUUCUUCACUCGGCGUUGUGUUUAGUGUCGGUUACUAAAUUAAUCGGAUAUAUAUCGCCCCCAUGUUAAUUCUCAUCAUUAAGAAAGAUCCAUCAGGCUCGUUUACAGCACUCGUUGUGACUGGCAGUCCGAUAAGCUGUACACUGAAUCAUCUCCACAAAAUAGGUUUGCGCGCGUUUCAUAAUAAUUUCUCACGCGUUAAAACGUGAAUGGCAUUAAUAUAAAUGGUGCGUGUAUAUGUGCGGUCUGUAAUCGUCUCUCACUUUGGUUCCGCGUUGAAUUUAUUAUGCCUGGAAGUUCUGGAAUUCGUGUAAAAACCACGUUUGGCUCCUGCAAGGAAUUUCGUAGGAGUAAGAGCUGUUUGCUACUGAGUAAGUAACAUCAAUCGAAGAAUACUGGGAAUCUCAUCAAAUUGUGUGAGUAUUGAAAAUGUUAUUUUUGUAUAUCGAAGUUGAUAUUUGUUUUGAGUCUAGCUAGACGUGACGACAUGGCAUUGUGACGCUCGCAUCAGAUAGUCUCUAUAGAAUGUCUUAUCAUUUGUUUCAGUCGGUUGUGCGCUGUGGUGCCGCGAGCACGUGUUUUGUUCAUCAUUCGAUCUUUGUGGUUAUUUUACGCGUUACUUAAGAUUUUAGAAGUAGUUAUGUAGAAGACUUAGAAUUAGAUGACUCUUGAAUUCAUUUAAGAAUGACGUACUAGUGUGGCGUACAACAAAUAAUUUAUCGCGUGUGAAUUUCUGAACUGAAAGGCUAUCUCCUGUGCGUGCGUGCUGCCGUCGGACACCGGCCGUCGGAUAUCUUCCUGUGCUUACGAAUUCCGAUUGGAUUUAUUGUUCAUCUACACAAUUGUUACCUCGUGAAAUAAACGUCAUAAGCUGCCCAACUGGAAAGAAGUUUGUUACUGAUGCAAGACCAAUUCAAGUAAAUUAUGUCUAUUUUACUAAUAUUUUUAAACAAUUAACAUUUAAUUUUUUGGGUGUAUAGGUUUCAAUAAAUAUUCAAUUCAACAUGUACUCUUGUGAUUGUAUGAGUUUCAAUAAACUAUACUUUUAAUAUUAAA